CACAGCGACUCGCUGCCCCGGCGGCGCGACCAGGAGGGGUCCGUGGGGCCCUCCGACUUCGGGCCGCGCAGUAUCGACCCCACACUCACACGCCUCUUCGAGUGCUUGAGCCUGGCCUACAGUGGCAAGCUGGUGUCUCCCAAGUGGAAGAAUUUCAAAGGCCUCAAGCUGCUCUGCAGAGACAAGAUCCGCCUGAACAACGCCAUCUGGAGGGCCUGGUAUAUCCAGUGUGAG
Molecule: long non-coding RNA, 234 nt
Filed under: Pan troglodytes (chimpanzee)
Lineage: Eukaryota; Metazoa; Chordata; Mammalia; Primates; Hominidae
Description: long non-coding RNA NONPTRT015696
Source: RNAcentral